RNAcentral lists this long non-coding RNA (1026 nucleotides) under Vulpes vulpes (red fox). Its description in RNAcentral is "lncRNA (ENSVVUG00000006284.1)". The record is from RNAcentral. Lineage: Eukaryota; Metazoa; Chordata; Mammalia; Carnivora; Canidae.
CCAAUAGAAUGUAGUGGAACUGAUGCUAUGUCACUUCCAGGAAUAGCCUUUAUGACACCUAAAACUUUCUUCUUCCUUUUUUGGGGACUCCUGGGCCACUCUGCAAGAGAUCUGAGAACCCUGAAGGGACUGUGGUGUGAGGAAGUCCACACUAGCCAUGUGGACAGGCUGUGUCAAGAGUGAAAGAGAGAUGCCUGGCCAACCCUCAGUAAUUGAGUUCUUUGCUCCACAGAAUCAUGGUGAAAGCACCUUUUUUGCUUCUAUGUUCUUCUGCCUUCUCCCUGCCUGGAAUUUUGACACAAGACUUACAGAUCUAAGAAAGCUUUGGAGAUUAUGAGACAAAAAACAAGCGAAUACAAGCCUACCUAUUAAAGAUAGAAAGAGUUGAGUCCUUGUUUACACCCUUGGGCCACCCAUACCAGUCAGCUCUAGACUGGCUCUCCUGGAGACAAAGUCCUAUCUGCGUAAGUCAAUGUUAUUUUGAUGUUCUGUUACUUGCCACUGAAUAUAUUCAAAGUUGAUAUAACUAUCAACAAAUAUCUGUUGAUUGGUUGACUGAAUCCCUUGUUUCCCAGCCUCAUCUUUUCUAAAAGUUUACCUACAACAAGAUAGUCUCUUUGGGAUUUAUGGUUCAUACCUAAUGAGCACACUUGGUGCUUCUCUCAGAGAUGCUCAACUGUGGUCAGUCUCCACCCAUCAUAUUUUUUCAGCCUUUGUUAGAAAAGUGGAAGGGUUUUAUUGUUGUUGCUGCUGUUGUUGCUAAGCAACCCUGAAUCUUCAGUCUUAAAUGUGCGACUCUAAGUGUUGGGAUCAUUCUACAUUAAAAUGCCUUCUAUUUUUGCCUUAAUUUUAAGUUAAAAUGAGAUCCCUCUGAAUGAGGCAGUCAUUUAGCAAGUCAGAAAUUCCUGUUGCCCCUAAUCUCUGGCUUUUAAGCUCUUCUAUUCAGUAUGUUUUUUCUCCGCAAAGUAUGAAAAAGAAAUCAUAGAGAACAAAAUAAAGACCCAUGAUCAUUUCUCCUAAUUUUCA